This 449-nucleotide ribosomal RNA is filed under the name uncultured bacterium. RNAcentral describes it as "partial 16S ribosomal RNA". It matches the Rfam family "Bacterial small subunit ribosomal RNA", at positions 29 to 523 of the family's 1533-position model. The record is from RNAcentral.
AACGAACGCUGGCGGCAUGCCUAACACAUGCAAGUCGAACGAGAUCUUCGGGUCUAGUGGCGCACGGGUGCGUAACGCGUGGGAAUCUGCCCUUUGGUUCGGAAUAACAGUUGGAAACGACUGCUAAUACCGGAUGAUGACGAAAGUCCAAAGAUUUAUCGCCAGAGGAUGAGCCCGCGUAGGAUUAGCUAGUUGGUGUGGUAAAGGCGCACCAAGGCGACGAUCCUUAGCUGGUCUGAGAGGAUGAUCAGCCACACUGGGACUGAGACACGGCCCAGACUCCUACAGGAGGCAGCAGUGGGGAAUAUUGGACAAUGGGCGAAUGCCUGAUCCAGCAAUGCCGCGUGAGCGAUGAAGGCCUUAGGGUUGUAAAGCUCUUUUACCCGGGAUGAUAAUGACAGUACCGGGAGAAUAAGCUCCGGCUAACUCCGUGCCAGCCGCCGCCGUAA